This 449-nucleotide ribosomal RNA is filed under the name uncultured bacterium. RNAcentral describes it as "partial 16S ribosomal RNA". It matches the Rfam family "Bacterial small subunit ribosomal RNA", at positions 29 to 523 of the family's 1533-position model. The record is from RNAcentral.
AGCGAACGCUGGCGGCAGGCCUAACACAUGCAAGUCGAACGAACUCUUCGGAGUUAGUGGCGGACGGGUGAGUAACACGUGGGAACGUGCCUUUAGGUUCGGAAUAACUCAGGGAAACUUGUGCUAAUACCGAAUGUGCCCUUCGGGGGAAAGAUUUAUCGCCUUUAGAGCGGCCCGCGUCUGAUUAGCUAGUUGGUGAGGUAAAGGCUCACCAAGGCGACGAUCAGUAGCUGGUCUGAGAGGAUGAUCAGCCACAUUGGGACUGAGACACGGCCCAAACUCCUACGGGAGGCAGCAGUGGGGAAUCUUGCGCAAUGGGCGAAAGCCUGACGCAGCCAUGCCGCGUGAAUGAUGAAGGUCUUAGGAUUGUAAAAUUCUUUCACCGGGGACGAAAAUGACUGUACCUGCAGAAGAAGCCCCGGCUAACUACGUGCCAGCCGCCGCCGUAA